This 465-nucleotide ribosomal RNA is filed under the name uncultured bacterium. RNAcentral's name for it is "partial 16S ribosomal RNA". It matches the Rfam family "Bacterial small subunit ribosomal RNA", at positions 28 to 507 of the family's 1533-position model. The record is from RNAcentral.
GACGAACGCUGGCGGCGUGCUUAACACAUGCAAGUCGUACGGUAAGGCCCUUUCGGGGGUACACGAGUGGCGAACGGGUGAGUAACACGUGAGUAACCUGCCCACAACUUUGGGAUAACGCUAGGAAACUGGUGCUAAUACUGGAUAUGUGCUCCUGCUGCAUGGUGGGGGUUGGAAAGCUCCGGCGGUUGUGGAUGGACUCGCGGCCUAUCAGCUUGUUGGUGGGGUAGUGGCCUACCAAGGCGGCGACGGGUAGCCGGCCUGAGAGGGUGACCGGCCACAUUGGGACUGAGAUACGGCCCAGACUCCUACGGGAGGCAGCAGUGGGGAAUAUUGCACAAUGGGCGCAAGCCUGAUGCAGCAACGCCGCGUGCGGGAUGACGGCCUUCGGGUUGUGAACCGCUUUCAGCAGGGACGAAGCUUUUUGUGACGGUACCUGCAGAAGAAGCACCGGCUAACUACGUG